AGUAUGUUUGGUUUGGUAGGACUUUCUAACUGUAUGUUGUUCUUUUUCCUUUUUCAAACACUUCCCAUAACGGUCAAUGUCACUCUUUUAUGCUUAUAACUUCAAGAGUUGUUAUAAUUUCGAGUUUUUGUUUACUCUAAAAUGUUACUCUUUUUAUUUUCCAAGAUUAUUUUGAAGUGAUAAUUAACUUGUUCGUCGGAGUGUUUGUAGGAAGGUAUGUACGCUCUUGUCAUGAAUAGAUCAAAAUGAGUCUUGAGGUCAUUACAAGUAAUGUUCUUCUAUUGCUUCUUUUCAUUUGGUUUUUACAAUAAAUGCAAAGUGAUUGUUUUGUUACAAGUAGUAAAUGCUGCACAAAUCCAUAACAAAUAUUGAGCAGUUUCUCGCAUUUUCUUUUUUAUAUUAUACUGGUAAGGGUUGUAUUGUGUUUUGAUAUCACUGUUUCUUUUGGUCAUAUUUGAUAGGGAGAGCCAGCCGUUGAGGUUACAAAUGAAGGUGUUGAUGCUGCAGGGCAUACAAUUGGUACAUCUUUGGAGGUCGUGUUCAAACUUAGGAAGGUUCUCAACCCCAAGAGUGUGAUCAAACUAACAUCACUAGCUAAAGAUUAUUUUUAGAAUAACAUCUAUCGAAUAAAUUUCAGACGAAAGACCUUGGUAAACUCCUAUAUUUUUUGGGUAUUGAGCUGGUCCAAUCUAAAGAAGAUAUGGUAAUUUCUCCGGGGAAAUAUGCUAUGGAUACUUUUGAAGAAACAAGUCUGUAGAUAAUGCAUUCAUAGAAAGUAAGUCACUUUAACUUGUUGGUGUCAUCCAAAGGUAACUAGAAAUACUAUGUUUGGUUUGGUAGGACUUUCUAACUGUAUGUUGUUCUUUUUCCUUUUUCAAAGACUUCCCAUAAAGGUCAAUGUCACUCUUUUAUGCUUAUAACAUCAUGUGUUGUUAUAACUUCGUCUUUUUGUUUACUCUAAAAUGUUACUCUUUUUAUUUCCCAAGAUUAUUUUGAAGUGAUAACUAACUUGUUCGUCGGAGUGUUUGUAGGAAGGUAUGUACGCUCUUGUCAUGAAUAGAUCAAAAUGAGUCUUGAGGUCAUUACAGGUAAUGUUCUUCUAUUGCUUCUUUUCAUUUGGUUUUUACAAUAAAUGCAAAGUGAUUGUUUUGUUACAAGUAGUAAAUACUGCACAAAUCCAUAACAAAUAUUGAGCAGUUUCUCGCAUUUUCUUUUUAUAUUAUACUGGUAAGGGUUGUAUUGUGUUUUGAUUUCACUGUUUCUUUUGGUCAUAUUUGAUAGGGAGAGCCAGCCGUUGAGGUUACAAAUGAAGGUGUUGAUGCUGCAGGGCAUACAAUUGGUACAUCUUUGGAGGUCGUGUUCAAACUUAGGAAGGUUCUCAACCCCAAGAGUGUGAUCAAACCAACAUCACUAGCUAAAGAUUAUUUUGAGAAUAACAUCUAUCGAAUAAAUUUCAGACGAAAGACCUUGGUAAACUCCUAUAUUUUUUGGGUAUUGAGCUGGUCCAAUCUAAAGAUGAUAUGAUAAUUUCUCCGGGGAAAUAUGCUAUGGAUACUUUUGAAGAAACAAGUCUGUAGAUAAUGCAUUCAUAGAAAGUAAGUGACUUUAACUUGUUGGUGUCAUACAAAGGUAACUAGAAAUACUAUGUUUGGUUUGGUAGGACUUUCUAACUGUAUGUUGUUCUUUUUCCUUUUUCAAAGACUACCCAUAAAGGUCAAUGUCACUCUUUUAUGCUUAUAACAUCAUGUGUUGUUAUAACUUCGUCUUUUUGUUUACUCUAAAAUGUUACUCUUUUUAUUUCCCAAGAUUAUUUUGAAGUGAUAACUAACUUAAUCGUCGGAGUGUUUGUAGGAAGGUAUGUACGCUCUUGUCAUGAAUAGAUCAAAAUGAGUCUUUAGGUCAUUACAGGGAGAGCCAGCCGUUGAGGUUACAAAUGAAGGUGUUGAUGCUGCAGGGCAUACAAUUGGUACAUCUUUGGAGGUCGUGUUCAAACUUAGGAAGGUUCUCAACCCCAAGAGUGUGAUCAAACCAACAUCACUAGCUAA
Lathyrus oleraceus (garden pea) is the source of this 2045-nucleotide long non-coding RNA. RefSeq lists it as uncharacterized. Lineage: Eukaryota; Viridiplantae; Streptophyta; Magnoliopsida; Fabales; Fabaceae. The record is from RefSeq and is a predicted model, not a curated record. The transcript is spliced from 7 exons.